GGUCUCAAAUCAGGUAGGAUCACCCGCUGAACUUAAGCAUAUCAAUAAGCGGAGGAAAAGAAACUAACAAGGAUUCCCCUAGUAACGGCGAGCGAAGCGGGAAGAGCUCAAAUUUGAAAGCUGGCGUCUUCGGCGUCCGCGUUGUAAUCUCGAGACGUGUUUUCCGUGCGACUCUAUGGACAAGUCCCUUGGAACAGGGCAUCGUAGAGGGUGAAAAUCCCGUACUCGCCAUGGNAAGUACCGUGCUUUGUGAUACACGUUCCAAGAGUCGAGUAGUUUGGGAUUGCUGCUCAAAGUGGGUGGUAGACUCCAUCUAAAGCUAAAUAUCGGGGAAGAGACCGAUAGCGAACAAGUACCGUGAGGGGAAAGAUGAAAAANCACCUUUGGAAAGAGAGNUAAAAGUACGU
This 407-nucleotide ribosomal RNA is filed under the name uncultured Malassezia. RNAcentral's name for it is "eukaryotic LSU rRNA". It matches the Rfam family "Eukaryotic large subunit ribosomal RNA", at positions 1 to 400 of the family's 3401-position model. The record is from RNAcentral. Lineage: Eukaryota; Fungi; Basidiomycota; Malasseziomycetes; Malasseziales; Malasseziaceae.